This 393-nucleotide ribosomal RNA is filed under the name uncultured bacterium. RNAcentral describes it as "bacterial SSU rRNA". It matches the Rfam family "Bacterial small subunit ribosomal RNA", at positions 32 to 405 of the family's 1533-position model. The record is from RNAcentral.
AAUCAACGCUGGCGGCGUGCCUCAGACAUGCAAGUCGAACGCGAAAGUCCCCUUCGGGGGACAAGUAGAGUGGCGCACGGGUGAGUAACACGUAGGUAAUCUACCCUCGGAUGGGGAAUAACAACCGGAAACGGUUGCUAAUACCGCAUAAUGCAGCGGCACCUAAUGGUGACAGUUGUUAAAGCGGGGGAUCGAAAGACCUCGCGUCUGAAGAGGAGCCUGCGGCGGAUUAGCUAGNGGUAAGGUAAUGGCUUACCAAGGCGACGAUCCGUAGCCGGCCUGAGAGGGCGGUCGGCCACACUGACACUGACAUACGGGUCAGACUCCUACGGGAGGCAGCAGUCGGGAAUUUUGGGCAAUGGGCGAAAGCCUGACCCAGCAACGCCGCGUGAA